GACGAACGCUGGCGGCGUGCUUAACACAUGCAAGUCGAACGGAAAGGCCCUGCUUUUGUGGGGUGCUCGAGUGGCGAACGGGUGAGUAACACGUGAGUAACCUGCCCUUGACUUUGGGAUAACUUCAGGAAACUGGGGCUAAUACCGGAUAGGAGCUCCUGCUGCAUGGUGGGGGUUGGAAAGUUUCGGCGGUUGGGGAUGGACUCGCGGCUUAUCAGCUUGUUGGUGGGGUAGUGGCUUACCAAGGCUUUGACGGGUAGCCGGCCUGAGAGGGUGACCGGCCACAUUGGGCCUGAGAUACGGCCCAGACUCCUACGGGAGGCAGCAGUGGGGAAUAUUGCACAAUGGGCGGAAGCCUGAUGCAGCAACGCCGCGUGCGGGAUGACGGCCUUCGGGUUGUAAACCGCUUUCGCCUGUGACGAAGCGUGAGUGACGGUAAUGGGUACAGACGCCCCGGCUAACUACGUG
Molecule: ribosomal RNA, 468 nt
Filed under: uncultured bacterium
Lineage: Bacteria
Description: partial 16S ribosomal RNA
Rfam family: Bacterial small subunit ribosomal RNA
Source: RNAcentral